Molecule: long non-coding RNA, 781 nt
Filed under: Vulpes vulpes (red fox)
Lineage: Eukaryota; Metazoa; Chordata; Mammalia; Carnivora; Canidae
Description: lncRNA (ENSVVUG00000002312.1)
Source: RNAcentral
AAAUAAACACCCCUUGUAUUUUGCUUGAGGCCACAUGAGUUGAGUUUCUGAAACUUGCAGCUCAGAGCCCUGUGCUCAUAGUCAGCUAUGAGAAAUGCGUAAUUGUGUCCAUGAGCUUCAGGCACAUUUGAUGGGGAGGCAGCUCUUCUUCAGUAGGUGAGAGAACAGCAGCUUACCCUGAAACAUCUAACUUCCAGGAAUUAACACAGUAAAGGGCAAGCCUAGUUGAAUAUGUGCCUUUGUUUUGGUUUGGCAUCCAAAGCCCGAGAGGACUUGUCCUAUAGCACAUCACAGCACAAUCCUUGGUAUUGUGCACCCCUGGCAGGGGGACACUCAACCCUCUGGGUCAGUAUGUCCUUGUGACAUCAGUACAUGAUGAAUGCACAUCACAGUGAUGGUGGUAUGUUGUGGUCUGCACACACAGACAUGUGACAGCAGCAUGUUCCUGCCAUGGAAGAGGGGCGAAGGCAUCUGCAUGAGACCUAGGGUGACUGGGUAUAUUGUAAGACCAGUGGUGUUUGGGGGGCAGGGCUUUUGAAGCCUCAGACCCAGGCUGAGGAACAGGGGGCUGAAAUGUGGGAGUAAGGAGGGAUGAUUCCUAGGAGUACUCAUGGAAGGUGCUAGAAGUGUCUUCCAGGGCAGAAUCGGCUGGCAGGGGAGUCUGCAGAACGCUGUCUUCAGGCAGCAAGGAGGUGUAGCAGGCUGGUGCUGUGGCUCAGGGCUUGGUGAACAUGUGUGUUCCUGGCCCUGCUCCACCUGCUUCUCCACUAAAGCUGACUGA